AUUCCCAACUUAUGCGAUUUUCUUUUUUGAGAAAAAGUAGCAAGCUACCUGCUUCAUUCAUUAGGCAAAAUGAACUAAGCAAAUAGGAUGAAAGCAGCCGGGGCUUCCUUAAAAAAGAUACACUAAAAGGAGACAAAAAAGAGAUAAAAAAGGAAAGAAAAAUAAAGCAAAGAAGGGACGAGCGGCGGAGAAAAAGGGAAAAGGGACGGAUGACGGAGGGAUAGGGAUCAGGCGAUCAAAGAAUGUCGUUCAAAGAGGCUAGCAGGAGUUUGAUGCGCUCAACCGACCGAGAAGGGUUGAGGAGUUUAGCUCGGAAGAUAAUAUGAUUCCUUUCUGUCCAGACGACCCACCAGGUUGCCGCUAAAAGGGUUAAACCUUUAGUUCUCUUUGAAGCAUCGCUAAUGUUAGUUAUCCUUAAACAGAGAACGCGGACGUCGUCGAGGAACUCCGUGAGGACUUCCGAACUGUCCGCGCAUAGGAAAAGGUAUCUAAUAAAAACGCAAUUGCAUAAUAGGUGAUCACAACUUUCCGUGUUAAGAGCACAGAACACACAGUUUUGAUCCACCCAUCGGCCUCAAUCAAUCAGUCUAUCGGCCAUAAGAAUUCUUUUGCGAAGAAGUAGCCAAAUAAACACUUUAAUUUUAGCAGGGGAUUUCAGUCCCCAGAUGAAGGCACUCGUCGAGUCUCUCUGUCCAGCAUCAGUGAGAAACGUAUAAGUGGAUUUAACGGUGAAUAGUUGAUUCGAGGUCCAGUGCCAGUUAACCGAAUCUGGUGAAUUACUAGGGCUGAAGGGUUGAAGUAGGGCCAUAAGCGAUGUCAAUAGUCUGCGAUUAUGUGCUGAUAGAGACGCCAUAAAACCUCUGCAAAUGAAACGCCAUCUCCAGCCAAUUGGAUCCCAGCAUUGAGACAAUGUAACCUCCUUGCUCCGUAAGCUAUCGAAAAUAGCCGGGAACAUGGUUCUCAAAGGGGUUUCUCCAAACCAAAUGUCUGACCACAUCCUGAUGAUUCUUCUGUCUCCAAGCAUAUAGGAAACGCCACAUUUGAACACAUCUCGGCAACGUAACAUGGUUUUCCACCAUUGCGAAUACGGGACGACGGCUCCGCCUUCGAGUAAAGGUCUCCGUCUCUUGUAGUUUAGAUGUCUAACCAACUUGUUUUAGUGCAACGACGGCUCAUUAAUGAACGGCCACCACCACUUGGUUAGAAGAGCCAAAUUCAUCGAUUCCAUUUCUUUGAUUCCUAGCCCCCCUUCUAUUUUGCUUUUGCAGACAUUUUUCCAGCUGACAAGGCAAGCACCCCCGGUGACUUUAGAGCAGCCUUUCCAGAAGAAAGCUCUUCUCAGGGUUUCAAUCCGGUGCAAAACCCAUUGAGGCACUUUGAAUAUGGAGAGAUAGAAAAGCGGUAAAUUCGUAAAGACCGAGUUGACAAGAGUAAGCCUACCCUCUUGGGAGAGUAGUUUAGCCUUCCAACCUUUGAUUCUAGUCUUAAUAUGAUUGAUAACCAAAGCCUAGUCCUCCUUUUGAAGUUGCUUAUUAAAGAGAGGUAGACCCAAGUAGCGAAAGGGAAGAUUACCUACCUUACAUCCCAGGAUAUUAGCUAAUCUAACGGCUUUGUGUGGAUUGGAUCCCAAAUAGUACAAUUCUAAUUUGUUCAUGUUGAUUCUGAGUCCAAAUGCCCAUUCGAAGAUUUUCUAAAGGAAGCGCAGGUUUCGCAUGAUAGAUUUUCUAGGUUUGCAAAAGAAGAUCGUAUGCGUACUGAAUAAGGAUCGUGUGGCAAUCAGCUGACGACCCGAUUCCGAAUAAUAACUCAUUACUCCUGGCAGCCUUAGUCAGCCUGGCGAGGCAGUCAGCUACCAAUAGAAAAAGAUAAGGAGAAAAGGGGUCACCUUGUCUAAGGCCUUUUCUAGCUUUCAACCAUUUAGUCGGGGUCUCAUUCACUAGGAUGGCCACUUUAGCGUUACAGAUGCACCUUCGAUCCAAGACCACCAUUUGUCACCGAGACUUAUCCACUGCACAAUAUUCUUUAGAAAGGACCACCUCACACUGUCAAAGGCUUUUUUCAAAGUCGAUCUGCCUUGAUACUCACGCAUUCCUUUCCUGUUUUAGAACACUAAGCAACUAACUCGCAAACAGUGACGAAGGAGUCUGCCAGCAGACGAUCUUUAAGGAAGGCCGAUUGCACGGGAUUAAUAAUGUCAAGAAAAAUACAAGCCAACCUGUUCGCAAGAACUUUGGAUAUGAUUUUUUGAAUACCGUUCAGAAAGCUAAUCGAGCGAAAGUCGUUAACCCGACACGCUCCCUCGUUUUUGGGAAUGAGACAAACAAAAGAGUAGUCUGAAGGACCAGGGAAGAGUUUGCCAUCCUGGAGGUCGAUGAAGAAUUUGAAGAUAUCAUCCUUGACCAUUUCCUGGAAAGUUUGAAAGAAGAUAAGUGGAAAGCCAUCUAGCCUAGGGGCUUUGUCACUUCCCAAUUGAAAGGUCGCGGUUUUAGCUUCCUCGAGGGUGAACGGGGACGUGAGAGCGUCAGGCCUAAGCACUCAGUUAGAUCGGUAGAGCCCACUCAACUCUCCCUGCGACAAUCGUGUCUCGGGAUAGUCGAAUAGUCGUUUAAGAUUUUGGAAAAAGUAGGAUCUUAUAUGAUCUUUGUUAUUAAUUUGUCUUCCAGCGUCGUCUUCAAUAAAUUCAAUUCGUGUUGACACAUUUACGACCGUUGGCUUUCGAAGUUAGAAAGUGUGGUUGAGUACAUUUAUUAUGCAAAAAGACAUAAUAGCUAGCUUCUCUGUUAAGAUCCCUUAAUAGCUACAUUAAGAACACGGAUAGGAGUUUUAAAUUAAAAUUUUCACUUUUAAAUUGUUAAAUUUUCUAAUUUCCUACUUUGAUUAGAUUAUAGUACUUCAGUUUUUUAAAUUGAUUUUUUUUCUUUUUUUUUCUAUUCUUUUUUGUUGAUUUGCCGAGCUGAAUUAGCUUGUCGAAUUAGCAAAGGCCGCUAGAUGGAGGGGGCCCACCAUGUAAAUAACGUGGGGCUCUCUAUCGUGCGAUUUUGUUUGGUGAGGAUUAGGACAACCUCUUUAUAAUUAAUUACUAGGACUACUAUUACAUUUCUCAAAUUGAAAAGUUGUUUUUAGAAUUGACCCAUAUAUGACAUUUUCUAACUUGAAAAGUAUUCACUUAUUCGCUUUACAUGCCGGUCUUCUUCUUUGGUUUGUAAUAAGAGACUUCCGAGAUGAUUCUGAACUUUUUUUUUUUUUCCAAAAGACUACUGUGACACUUCAAUAAUUCUACAUCUGAUGAGAAUGAGAUUGUGUUUGGAAAUAUAAGAACUAUAGACUCUAAUAAUAAUAAAUGAGCCGAAGCACUUUGGGCCAAUGGUUUGAGCCCAAUGAGUUAUUAUUAUUAGUGGGCCGAAUCGUUACAUUUAGUAUCAAAGUCGAUUCACUAGCCAGAAGUGUAAAGUGGAUAUCACAUCGUUUCGUGAUCUUGGGCUAAUCUUGGACUAUGUGUGUGAUUGAAGCCAUUCACUAGCCAAAAGUGUGAAAUAGAUCUCACAUCGUUUGAUAAUUUUUGGACUAAUCUUGGGCUAUAUACGUGAUUGGGCCGACGAGGACUGUGAUAUUGGACUAAUUUUGGGCUACAUGUGUGAUUAGGCUGACGAUGACGUCAAGAGUUAAAUCGGGAAAGUCUGUGACACUUUAAUAGUCAUAUAUUGGAUGAGAACGAGGUUAUAUUUGUACAAGGAAGCAUGAACUCUAAAAAAUAAUAGUUGGGCUUAAGUAUUUUAAGCCAGUGAUUUUGGCCAAACAAGUUAUUAUUGUUAGUAAUCAGGAUCAUUUUAACUACUGUGCCAAGGAUUAUGAUAAUGUUUUGAAGAUUUUUUUCUCCAAAUUUUGCCCAAGGGUGUCUUAAUGCCCCAUGAUGGACUUUCAUGGGUUCAAAUCUAGAUCUCCAAAGCCUUCCAUGGAGUACCACCACUAUUUCUAACCAUUUGGUGUUUUUUUUUUUUUUUAUUUUUUUGAGAGAGAGAUAGAUAACACGCUACCCGCUUCGUUUAUUUUCAUUUAGAAAUAAACUUAGCUAGAAAAUUGUGAAUCAACUAGGAUUUGAACUUGAGUCUCGGGUACCAACCACCAAGCCCUUUGCCACUUGCUUUAGGGACGGUCGGUCAUUUGGUGCUAGCUAGUUAUGGUUUGUAAAUUCUCAUAUUUAUUGUAAAAAGAAAAUAUACAUGGAUAAUAGUGGAUCACUAUAGAUAAAAAAUUUGAAAUUAGUCAUAGUACCCUUGCCACUCAAAAUUGCUUAAAGAAGAGCAAAAAAACCAAAAGAGAAAACUAAAAAAAGCGAGUUUUAAGAUUGUUUUUUAGUCUUUAAUAUGUUUUGGGUUAAUCAUACCAUUGGUCCCCAACCUUUUUCCAAAUGUUCAAUUGGGUCUCUAUUUUUUUUUUUUUUUCUGGUGUCAAUCAAGUCCCCAACAUUUAUAAUUCAUGUCAAUUGAGCCUUUGCCGUCGAUGAUUUCAUUACUGUAAUACUUUAAGAGAUAGGAGAAGAAAAGAAGAGUGAGGAGGAGAAAAAGAUGAAGAGGAAAAAUGAAGAAGGAAAAGAAUAAGCGAAAAAAAAAAAAAGAAAGAAGAAAAAGAAGAAAAGAAGCAAAUGAUAAUAAGAAGAUGAUAAUGAUGGGUAGAACAAAGAAGAACAAGAAAGAAAGAGAAGAAAAGGAAGGAAAAUAAAUGGAAAAAAAAGAGAGGCAGGAGAGGAGAGAAGAAGAAAAGAUGAAGAAAAAAAAAUGGAGAAAAAUACAAAGAAGAAAAAAAAGGAGAAGAACAAGAAAAAAGGAUAAAAGGAUAGAGAAAAUAAAAAAAUAAAAAAUAAAAAAUAAGAGAGAGGAAGAAAAAAAGAAGGGGAGAAAAAAAGUAAAACCGAUUGCUUAAAGAGUCUUUAGAGAGAUGAAAACAUAAUUCUUUUUUCAAAAUUCCGUCAAUCACGAGCACUUAUGUGUCAAAUCCAUUAAAGAUAACAGAGUCAUAAGCAGCGGAGACCUAUUGGAAUAAAUUAUAUAUAUUGUAUAUUUAAUUAACGUAAAUACAAGGCUAAGGAUCCUAUUGAAUAUUUGCGAAAAGGUUCGGGACCAAUAGUGCAAUUAACCCCUUUUCUUUAAUUUUUUUUACUUUUUUAACUUAACUUUUAGUUUUUUUU
Molecule: long non-coding RNA, 5185 nt
Filed under: Ananas comosus (pineapple)
Lineage: Eukaryota; Viridiplantae; Streptophyta; Magnoliopsida; Poales; Bromeliaceae
Description: long non-coding RNA (ACOM_LNC033634)
Source: RNAcentral